Molecule: ribosomal RNA, 423 nt
Filed under: uncultured bacterium
Lineage: Bacteria
Description: bacterial SSU rRNA
Rfam family: Bacterial small subunit ribosomal RNA
Source: RNAcentral
UCUUCCGCAAUGGACGAAAGUCUGACGGAGCAACGCCGCGUGAGUGAUGAUGGCUUUCGGAUCGUAAAACUCUGUUGUUAGGGAAGAACAAGUACCGGUCGAAUAGGGCGGCACCUUGACGGUACCUAACCAGAAAGCCACGGCUAACUACGUGCCAGCAGCCGCGGUAAUACGUAGGUGGCAAGCGUUGUCCGGAAUUAUUGGGCGUAAAGCGCGCGCAGGCGGUGUCUUGAGUCUGAUGUCAAAGCCCCCGGCUCAACCGGGGAGGGUCAUUGGAAACUGGGGAACUUGAGUGCAGAAGAGGAGAGUGGAAUUCCACGUGUAGCGGUGAAAUGCGUAGAGAUGUGGAGGAACACCAGUGGCGAAGGCGACUCUCUGGUCUGUAACUGACGCUGAGGAGCGAAAGCGUGGGGAGCGAACAAG